RNAcentral lists this ribosomal RNA (681 nucleotides) under Streptomyces sp. Its description in RNAcentral is "bacterial SSU rRNA". It matches the Rfam family "Bacterial small subunit ribosomal RNA", at positions 89 to 784 of the family's 1533-position model. Lineage: Bacteria; Bacillati; Actinomycetota; Actinomycetes; Kitasatosporales; Streptomycetaceae. The record is from RNAcentral.
GGAUUAGUGGCGAACGGGUGAGUAACACGUGGGCAAUCUGCCCUUCACUCUGGGACAAGCCCUGGAAACGGGGUCUAAUACCGGAUACCACUCCUGCCCGCAUGGGUAGGGGUUGAAAGCUCCGGCGGUGAAGGAUGAGCCCGCGGCCUAUCAGCUUGUUGGUGGGGUAACGGCCCACCAAGGCGACGACGGGUAGCCGGCCUGAGAGGGCGACCGGCCACACUGGGACUGAGACACGGCCCAGACUCCUACGGGAGGCAGCAGUGGGGAAUAUUGCACAAUGGGCGAAAGCCUGAUGCAGCGACGCCGCGUGAGGGAUGACGGCCUUCGGGUUGUAAACCUCUUUCAGCAGGGAAGAAGCGAGAGUGACGGUACCUGCAGAAGAAGCGCCGGCUAACUACGUGCCAGCAGCCGCGGUAAUACGUAGGGCGCAAGCGUUGUCCGGAAUUAUUGGGCGUAAAGAGCUCGUAGGCGGCUUGUCACGUCGGAUGUGAAAGCCCGAGGCUUAACCUCGGGUCUGCAUUCGAUACGGGCUAGCUAGAGUGUGGUAGGGGAGAUCGGAAUUCCUGGUGUAGCGGUGAAAUGCGCAGAUAUCAGGAGGAACACCGGUGGCGAAGGCGGAUCUCUGGGCCAUUACUGACGCUGAGGAGCGAAAGCGUGGGGAGCGAACAGGAUUAGAUA